RNAcentral lists this ribosomal RNA (229 nucleotides) under uncultured Eubacteriales bacterium. RNAcentral's name for it is "uncultured Clostridiales bacterium partial 16S ribosomal RNA". It matches the Rfam family "Bacterial small subunit ribosomal RNA", at positions 105 to 334 of the family's 1533-position model. The record is from RNAcentral. Lineage: Bacteria; Bacillati; Bacillota; Clostridia; Eubacteriales.
GGUGAGUAACACGUGAGUAACCUGCCUUAGACAUUGGGAUAGCCUCGGGAAACCGGGAUUAAUACCAAAUAGAAUCAUAAUGACACAUGUCAUAACGAUCAAAACUCCGGUGGUCUAAGAUGGACUCGCGUCCCAUUAGCUAGUUGGUAGAGUAAAAGCCUACCAAGGCGACGAUGGGUAGCCGGCCUGAGAGGGUGGACGGCCACAUUGGGACUGAGAUACGGCCCAG